Molecule: ribosomal RNA, 253 nt
Filed under: uncultured bacterium
Lineage: Bacteria
Description: partial 16S ribosomal RNA
Rfam family: Bacterial small subunit ribosomal RNA
Source: RNAcentral
UACGUAGGGUGCAAGCGUUGUCCGGAAUUAUUGGGCGUAAAGCGCACGUAGGCGGAUUGUUAAGUCAGGGGUGAAAUCCUGGAGCUCAACUCCAGAACUGCCUUUGAUACUGGCGAUCUUGAGUCCGGGAGAGGUGAGUGGAACUGCGAGUGUAGAGGUGAAAUUCGUAGAUAUUCGCAAGAACACCAGUGGCGAAGGCGGCUCACUGGCCCGGUACUGACGCUGAGGUGCGAAAGCGUGGGGAGCAAACAGG